GUUCCUAUAGUUGAAGUAUACAACGGUGGUUUUUCAGGCCAUAGGUCUUGGAGAGAAGCCAAGUAGGAAUU
This 71-nucleotide transfer RNA is filed under the name Geococcyx californianus (greater roadrunner). Its description in RNAcentral is "tRNA-Glu". Lineage: Eukaryota; Metazoa; Chordata; Aves; Cuculiformes; Neomorphidae. The record is from RNAcentral.